UACGGAGGGGGCUAGCGUUGUUCGGAAUUACUGGGCGUAAAGCGCACGUAGGCGGCUUUGUAAGUUAGAGGUGAAAGCCCAGGGCUUAACCCUGGAAUUGCCUUUAAGACUGCAUCGCUAGAAUCGUGGAGAGGUGAGUGGAAUUCCGAGUGUAGAGGUGAAAUGCGUAGAUAUCGGGAGGAACACCUGUGGCGAAAGCGGCUCACUGGACCAUUACUGACGCUGAUGCACGAAAGCUAGGGGAGCAAACAGG
This 253-nucleotide ribosomal RNA is filed under the name uncultured bacterium. RNAcentral describes it as "partial 16S ribosomal RNA". It matches the Rfam family "Bacterial small subunit ribosomal RNA", at positions 524 to 776 of the family's 1533-position model. The record is from RNAcentral.